This 356-nucleotide ribosomal RNA is filed under the name uncultured bacterium. Its description in RNAcentral is "bacterial SSU rRNA". It matches the Rfam family "Bacterial small subunit ribosomal RNA", at positions 527 to 881 of the family's 1533-position model. The record is from RNAcentral.
GNAGGGGGCAAGCGNCAUCCGGAUNUACUGGGUGUAAAGGGAGCGUAGACGGUGAGACAAGUCUGAAGUGAAAUCCCGGGGCUCAACCCCGGAACNGCUNUGGAAACUGCCUGACUAGAGUGCAGGAGAGGUAAGUGGAAUUCCUAGUGUAGCGGUGAAAUGCGUAGAUAUUAGGAGGAACACCAGUGGCGAAGGCGGCUUACUGGACUGUAACUGACGUUGAGGCUCGAAAGCGUGGGGAGCAAACAGGAUUAGAUACCCUGGUAGUCCACGCGGUAAACGAUGAUUACUAGGUGUCGGGGGUUUAUAAACCUUCGGUGCCGCCGCAAACGCAAUAAGUAAUCUACCUGGGGAGU